Molecule: long non-coding RNA, 1855 nt
Filed under: Linum usitatissimum (flax)
Lineage: Eukaryota; Viridiplantae; Streptophyta; Magnoliopsida; Malpighiales; Linaceae
Description: long non-coding RNA (LUSI_LNC004907)
Source: RNAcentral
UUCUCAAUCUUCACUUUCUCUGAAUACCCAACUUUCAACAGACCUCUCAACUCUCCACACCCAAACGGCGGCCCUCGAUUCUCAACCUCUCUUAGCCAUUUUGGUUCUUUGAAAACCAUAAAACCCUCCUACCAACCUUGUAUUAUCCUCCAAAUCGAUCAAUCAUCCCUAACACUAUCGUAGAUCUGGACAAAUAGCCGCAUGCAACCCAUAAAAAUGACUACUUAACUCUUCGAUUUCAAGUUCCACUUAGAUGAAACAUCUGAAUCUUUUGGUGAGAUAUAACUAUUUAGAUAAGAAAUUUCUUACUUUCUUCUUUCUGCUCUCACUAUAAUAAUCGUUUUUGUUUAAUUUUCCUCUGCUAUUUUACUGGUUUUGGGUGAAAUGGGUGGAGCAUUUUGCUUGGGGAGUAUAUGAUGAUAGGUGUUUUGAUGAUGGAUUUUGUUAUUUGACUGCAGUUUGAUUUUGUUAAUAUGUAAAAUCUUUGUUUUACUGGGUUUUCUGUUUGAGGAUGAAUGAGUCAGAUUAAAUUUAUCUUCUUUAUUUUUUGAACUUUUUUUGUCGAUGGGAAUCUAUGGGUAUCCGUCACUUGACGGUGACGGUAUGCACUUUCCACCCGUUUGGCUGUCGGGGACGGGGUCGGGGAAACCUGACGAUUGCGGUGGGCGGGGAUCGGAUACACCAAACCCGUUCCCGAUCCGCCAUGAUGCCAAGCCUAGUAGUAGUCGGAUGACUCACUUUUCGACCUGAUAAGUUUUAGUUUUAUCCGGAUUUAAUAUUAUUAGGAUAUUAACUUAAUGUUUUACUGGUUAGUACACUUUUUAUAGCCAUUAAAUUUUUAGUGUUUUUAUCUAAUAAUUAUGAUUUAAAAACGAAAAUUGAGAUAGACGGUACUUUUGUUAAAAUUCAUUAUUAUUCACAGUUUAUUUAAAAAAAAUCAAAACAAAAAAUUGGAAAUAGAAUUCCCAAAAUCACAUUCCAUUAUCUUCAAAACAACCAAAUAUCCUUUUCUCCCUAUCAAAACAAAAACCCUCAUCUUCUCCUUUUUGAUGAAAAUCACCGGAAUUUUCAGAGUUUCAACUCCUUUCCUUCGGAUAUUUGAGUUCCAGAUUCAUCAUCCGAUUCUUCUUAUUCUGGCGGCUGCGGGUUGAGUAAGUCGACGGCGAUUCGAUUGGUUGGUCUCUUCUCUAUUUCGACAAUAGAAUAAAAUACCCUAAACUGUUAAGGUAUGUUUUUUGCGGAGUUGUCGCCGCAGGAACAAACUCCUUAUACAUUGACUACUGACUCCGACCUCCAGUUUGUUUUAGAUCCUCAAAAGGUUAGUUGUUGAUUUUUCAGAUUCAAUCUAUUUUUUGAUUUUUAAUUACCCACUUAUUACAGAUUCACCAUUUUUUUCUCUUUGGUUUGUUCCAAAUUUGAUCUUGUCGUUGAUUAUGCUGCCUAAACAGGCUAUUCAUUCCCGAGUGCCACACAUCCAUAUCAUCCAAUUAUUUUCGACUAAUCUAUUUACUAACUGUUCCCAUUGUAAUUAUGUAGGUACUAAGAUUAAUGUGGCAUAGGAGGAUAUCCUAAACUAGAGAAAAUUUGCGCCCAAAUUACAUAAGCAAUAACUCCUCAUCUGCGAUCGCCCUAAAUCUAUUUUUAUGAGAAAAUGUUUGUUUUCGUUCCUUAUUAUCGAUUCAUAUGCGAAAGUGAUAUGCUCGGCGGACGUCCCAGGUUCAUGAAAACACAUGCAUUAGGUGAUAGAUAGGGAGUGAGGGGGGAAGUAAACAAGUUUGUUAUUGGUGAUAAUUUGUCUUAAAAUUUAUAGGUAUGGAGUAUGAAAAAGAAUUUAGCCUUUGAGAUUAUUCUGCAU